UACGGAGGAUGCAAGCGUUAUCCGGAUUUAUUGGGUUUAAAGGGUGCGCAGGUUGUUUGAUAAGUCAGUGGUGAAAGUCUGUCGCUUAACGGUAGGAUUGCCAUUGAUACUGUUAGACUUGAAUAUGGAUGAGGUAGGCGGAAUGUGUAGUGUAGCGGUGAAAUGCAUAGAUAUUACACAGAACACCGAUUGCGAAGGCAGCUUACUAAUCCAUCAUUGACGCUGAGGCACGAAAGCGUGGGGAUCAAACAGGAA
This 255-nucleotide ribosomal RNA is filed under the name uncultured prokaryote. RNAcentral's name for it is "partial 16S ribosomal RNA". It matches the Rfam family "Bacterial small subunit ribosomal RNA", at positions 524 to 778 of the family's 1533-position model. The record is from RNAcentral.